Long non-coding RNA from Etheostoma cragini (Arkansas darter), 97 nucleotides. RefSeq lists it as uncharacterized. Lineage: Eukaryota; Metazoa; Chordata; Actinopteri; Perciformes; Percidae. The transcript is spliced from 3 exons. The record is from RefSeq and is a predicted model, not a curated record.
AGUUCAAGCUGUAUUAAAGCAGGUCUCUGCUGUGUGUAGUGUAAUCUCUAUGUGAUUGUCUUCUUUUUGUCUCCAGAUGGUGUUGCUGUUUUGAAUU